Gopherus flavomarginatus (Mexican gopher tortoise) is the source of this 1164-nucleotide long non-coding RNA. RefSeq lists it as uncharacterized. The record is from RefSeq and is a predicted model, not a curated record. NCBI's taxonomy places the organism in Eukaryota, Metazoa, Chordata, Testudines, Testudinidae. The transcript is spliced from 5 exons.
AUGACUAACAGAACUUUCAGGUCCUCUUAGUCAUGUGUUUUUGAAGUGGAAGGUAGCUUUCUUAGAUUGUCUCCAUGGAGUAGUUUUAUUUGCUAUUAGGCUGCCCCUUUAAAUCAAUCUUAAGUAGUGAACUUUUUUUUCAAGCUGUUUAUCAUCUGACUUGUUCCUGAAGCCACCUUGUGCAAAUAUAUAUUUAUCAAACCUGGUAUCUUAUGAAUGUUCCUUGCAGACAUUGCUGUGUUGUUUGUAUUUUGUCUUCAGUGAAAGAAAUGCAAAACAAAUCUAAUCAGAAAACCAAAUUGACAAAUAAAAUCAUUUACUGAAUGAAUUUUUUUGGUUGUAUUUUGUUUGUAAAUAUUCUCUCUACAAUGGAAGGUUUGGUUUGUUUUGUUUAAGUAUACAGUCCUUGCAGCCUUUGCAAAAUAGCCACUGUGGCUACAGAAGUUCUAAGCAAGAAAUGCUGUGGAGAAAUGAGGAUUGACUUAAACAUUAACUUGAAAGGAUGAUGAUUCAACUAGACUGAGGUCAAAUGAGCAGAAGCAUGAAAUUGAAGCAGUGUACAAGAUGGGUGAGUUUCUCUGGGAUGUUACAGCUUCCAAAUCAUAAACCUGACACUGCAGUUCAUUCACCCGCUGGAAGGCAUCCAGUUUUAAACUACGUUCUUGGAUCAACUGGCUUCUUAUCUAAGGAGGAUGGCAAUAUCACAUGAAGAGGAUUCAGGUUAAAAAAGAAAAAAAAGAUCUUCGGACAAUCCUCGUUCAAAGCAAAAUCACAAGCUAAAGGGCUCAAAAGGAGGAGAAGCAGAUGCCUUCAGCAUCAGAGCAGCUGUUUUGUGUAUGUUUUGGCUGUCAAGGCACUCUUGGAUCUACGUUAUACUUCCAUAAAUCUCCUAAGAGGAUCUAGAUUAUCCCAGAACUGUUUAAACACAAAAUAUAUAAUCAGAUAAGAUGCUGGAAAAAGAGGAACAUGGACUAGCAGUCACCAUGGAGUCCCUUGCGCACAGUAUUUUAGAAGGUUUUCCUGAGCCUGCUCUGACCACUGAUGGUGAUGUAUUUGUUACUUACCGAUCUUUUCGUUCCCUCCCCAGUCCGCGGUCAGAGGCUCUGGAUUUAGGGAAUCAAAACAGUUUGUGGAGUUUCCUAAUUGAGCAAAGCUGAAAAGGUA